RNAcentral lists this long non-coding RNA (2294 nucleotides) under Amborella trichopoda. RNAcentral's name for it is "long non-coding RNA (ATRI_LNC005330)". Lineage: Eukaryota; Viridiplantae; Streptophyta; Magnoliopsida; Amborellales; Amborellaceae. The record is from RNAcentral.
GUUUAAACCAUUUCUUCGCACACUGUCGAUUGUUCUCAUUUGGAUUCCGCAUGGGAAGUCGGGGUUGCUAGCUCGGGACUUCCACCAACCCGGAGAAAGGCUUUAUUACUCUUAUCAGAUUUUCCUUAAUCGGCUUUUUCUUUAGUGGCAACUUAUGUUAAAGAUUCAUUUACUUCCUCAAAAGAAUCUCUUACUCCACCGAAGCUAACAGCCUAGGUAGCAUCUUUCUCUAUUUUAUCUCGCCACCCCCCUCCUUUCCUUUAAUAAUAGCUUGUUAUUCACGUCUAUCACGCACACCCCAUUCAUUUUCAAGCUAUAAGAUCAUAAAAGAAUCCUAUAAAGGAGUCAUACUAUAGAGUUAGGUUUGAUUCAUUUUCCACGUAGGGAAGCAUAAAAGGAAAGCUGCCCCUUACCUGGUGACCUCUAUUUCCUUUCCGUAAUCGAACCUUCCACAGAAAGCAGCUCGCACUCGAUAAUAAGACUUGAACAUGGAUUCUUUCUCGUCGACUGGACCUUUCACUUGGAACAAGGACCCGGACGAAUAGGGCACGGGAACUACUCUUUUCAUUUUGGGAUUUUAGUAGGUAAGGGCAGCGGGACCAGCAACAUGAACAAUCGGACCAAGCAAUCUAUUAAACCAACUAACAAAGCUACAAGCUUCAGGCAGGAUCCUUUGUUAGGUCUACGAUUAGGGAGUAUGUCACCUUCCCUUCUCUUGGGGGGCCUCAUCGUAUGUUGAGUUUUACUAUACUAAAUGAGUUGGCAUAUUUGAGUCUUUCUUUUCUUUUAAACUAGAGGCAUCGACACAGGCACAACACAAGCAAAGAGGGAAAGAAGCAAUCUACACCAUUUGGGGUAGAAUUGCUUGCCACCGAAUAGAAAAGAAAGGAAACUCUUUCUUUGCCUCUGGUUAAGCCCCUUAUUACGUAAGGCAUCGCAAGGUCCUCGCUUUCGGCCAGAAAGCAAAGGCAGCAUGAUAAGAUAUGGAGCAAGCCAUGAAAUAGGUAUAAUAGGAAUUUAGAAAGCCCUAGAUAAGCAACAGGACCUUUUACAUAGACCAAGGCAAGAACCUCCACCAGUCGACGUGUCUACUCGAAUGACUCUUUUAUACAGUAUGCAGAGUGCUUGCUUUCGCUCCAGCUACUAAAGCCAACCAAUAGACCUGUUCAUACAACAAUAUUCCAACUCAUUUUCCUGCUUUAGUUCUUUAUGCCUUGGUUCGUUCUUUUUGUCAGAAGGUUCUUUAUUCAGCUCCUAGCCCCCUAUUUUCUGAAAAAGUUUGUCUAAAAGGAUGGGUCUUUCCGCUUCAAGUUCCUUCUGUCUUUCCUAUAUACUCUUCUCUGUGUUACUCGUUCUAACCAAAGUAGACAAACUGCUGUUUCCGAGAAAGACUGGCUUAGCCGACGGAAUUGAAUUAAUUACUAAAGCUAGGAGGAUUCCAAGAUUGAUGUUCCUACCUUGUUGAAUUCAGCAUUGGGUUUUCCCUUUUAAUCGAUACAGCUAACAUCAAUUUUUUGGCCAAAAAAUAUCGUAAAUGAUGAGCUUAAGGAACCCAUAAUUCACUAAGCACCUUCAGUACAAGACGACUUUCAUUAAAGAAAGGAAGGAACAUCAAGGAAAACAUUCUUAUGGAUCAACAGAUGGUACGGAAAUUUCAUAGAUACAAAGGCACUCAUAAGUUAUGCGCCAAGUUAGAUAGUCAAAAGUCAAUAUCUGCAAUAUCUUCAGAGCCGCAUCCAGUGCCUACUUAUCUUUCUUAGAAGAAUCAGACCCAAAAGUAGUUCCUUUUGAUCAACCUAAACUGAAAUAAAGCGAAAGGGACCCUCUUCCCACUUCCCUUUCCCAGUCCCAGAAAUGGAGUGAAGGCACUAGCUUUAUCUAAGGUAGUGUGGAUAAGCGUCUGUCCCUUCUUUUGCUCUGGUCUUUGAUUGUGUUAUUACUUAUGUGUUCCGACAUGUGAGUAGAAGCGUUGUGCAUUCGCUUUCCACUUAUUUCAACAAAACGGCAAGAGUGGAAGAGCCAUAGCUGGCAAAGGCACUCAUAGUGCUAGUUCUAAAGCUCAAGUUUACCAGUUGAAGCGCUUGAUUCCCAUUUGAUGAUGUGAUUCAUAACCAAAUGACCCACCCGUGCGUGAACCAGUGAAGACAGGCAGAGGUUCCAAGACCGUUUCAACAACAUCGUAGCGCUUGAUAUGGCGUCUUGCUACUUGCCCGCAUCAGAGCAAGCAUAGGUGGAGACAACAGAGUCAAAGGUAAGAUAUAGCUCUCCCGCUGGAUCGCCCUAACUGGUCAUAU